CAACCCUCAGCCACCCUCGGCCCACCACCACCAAGGUGCCAUUCACCCCUGACCCACUGACGCAACUGUGGACCCGAUGGCUGAUCCAGGACCUGGAGGAGGUGGCCCUUAUGGUGUAUCCAUGGCCCAGAAUACCUGUAACCAGAUUCUGACUAUCAGAUGACUGGAGGCAUAUUGCCUAGUUACAGUCAUGUACAUCUAAGUGCUCCUUGGUGCUGUAUCACCAUCAAGGACCUCCACCUGGCACUGCAGCACAUGUAGCAGAGUUGCAGUGGGGUUCCCAGCAGCAUUAGAAGUAGUACAUGAUGCACCUCAUACGUACUGUUUCUUUUUUAGAAGGCAACUCCAAGCACACAUUUGGUAUGACUAGUAAGUGAUUCCUUUUCUGCCUUACCUGAAAAGUGGAGGUAUACCGCCUCAUUACAAAGUAACUAAGCUAAUUUGUGUACAUGGUACGUACAUGGGUAGUGUAAUGAAAUGCUGCAUAAUGUUGAAGCAUGUUUACAAUCUACUAAAGCUUUAGUCAGAGACAGGCAAAGCUAGUGAUCUAAGGGAUAUGACUCACUGUUACAUUGAAUUAUAUGCACUGCACCUUAAUUGUCUUUUUAGUAAUCAGCAUGUAUAGAUUGCUAGAGCCAAGGUCAGAAAAUUUCAAGUAAAGGACUUGUUAAUUAGAAGUGACUAAUGGUGACACUAAAUUGUAUACACUUCACCUUACUCAUAUUAGUUUACUUACAGAGAAACAGCUACGUGAUAUAAUUCAGGCAUUGCCUUUUGUAGGUGUUUUAUUGCCAUUAGGUCUCAAGUUGAUAUUAUUGUAUAAUAUCAUUGUUCAAAUGCUUUAGCUUUUACAGAAACACGUAAAUUGACUUCCCCAGAUGUUUAAUGCGUAAAUAUUCAUGUAAAUAGGAAUCAGUUUUGUAUAGGUGUCAUCCAUGAUGAACGUCUCUUACAUUAUUUGAUAAACAUCAGACUGUAGGCAUAUUAUUCCCUGUUUGAAAAGCUCUCAGUGUGGUGCGGCACAGUACUCUUGUGUUAGGCUACAGAGCUGAAGUUAUUCAAUUACUUUCUUCCUUCUUCCAUUCUGAUUUAUUACUUAUAAAAAAGAAAUCCACAUGUGCAAUCAUCUUCAAAAUAUAUUGUUAAUCCAUUUAUUAGUACGGGGCCUGAAACCUCUUCAGUGGUAAAUGGUAAACGGUAAAAGUUAUCAUUCAUUGAUUUUGAUAAACAUAAGAGGUUGGCAUCUAACUGGGAGGUGGAAUGGCCACUUCUGUCUCAGCCAAUCAUGAGUGUUUGUACUACUGCUCUCGACCAGUCACGGCUCUCACAGCAUCAUACAAUGCUUGCAGCAGAAUAUAAACCAGCACCUAUUAAUACAUCUAUUUUUAAUAAUUGUUAUGAUUAUAAGUUUGAUUCUACAAUGAGAUUACCUGAACAGUCAACAUAGGACUACGUUACUCCUCCAUCUGGUGCAACUAGAAGGUCCCUGAAUGUUGAUGAAUGGACAAGAGUUUAAGCAAAAAAGCAAUCUGGGGAAAGCAUAUAACUUGUGAAGCAUUCAUAAAGGAAUACCACCACAACAGGUUGGUGAGCCUUGUUAAUGCAUAAACAAGUGCUUUGAGAUCAUUGAUGUUUACAAUAUGCAACAGUUAUUUGGAGAAUUUUGGGCUUCAGGUGACUAACCUGUAAAAUGCAUUCAUACAGAAGCACCUUGAUGUGUGUUGUACAAAAAAGGCAGUGAACACAUGAUUCUCACAAUAUAGGAAAUAAUCAGAAAUAUUUUAUGGGUAUUGUUAACAAUAUACUUGUAACUAUGCAAAAAGGCAUUCCAAAACAUUUUUGGAUUAAGCAGGAGUCAUGUAGACACUGCCCCACCUUACUAAAAAAAAUUCAGUAAUGGUAUACUCUUGCCUGACUUACAGAACAAGUCUGGAAGUCACCAUUGAGCUGGCAGAGACAAACUUUCAACAUAAUGAGAACAUAUGAGGUCAGUUUCCACUAUCAUUAACCAUUAUUCAUGGGCGACUUCACCCACUGAGCAGUAGUAUUUUAAACCAGACAGUGGGGAAUGAUUGGGGAAAAGAGAGGUAUUGAUUUAGGAAGAGGCUGGGAAAUGCUUAUGGAAGAAUUUGAAUGAUAAUUGAAGAAACUGGGGAUAAUGUGUCCGAUAGGUCCAGUGCGGUAAUAUAAGGGUCCGUCUAGAUGGCAACACUUUCAUCUCAUGACCAGUGCCUAAAACGUCUUAUGGACGGUGUUCUGCUGAUCCGUCAGGUAACUUUGUCAUCCGUUUUCUGCUGAAAGUGGUUGUGGCGAUAAGAUGCCUCUGAAAGGUGAUAUCACUAUUGAAAUUGUUUUAAUUUUUUUAGCCAGAAAAAACAAACUGAACAAAGCCUGAUUAUUGUUGUCUGAUGUGUUGGGGCAUGCUGUUUUUCACAACAUAAUUUGUAGGAGGUUGUUUACAGUUACUGUAUCAGACAUUAUAAUGAAAUUUGAGAAUAGUCAGGUACCAGAAGAGAUAAAUUAUAUUCAGAUAUUUGUAUCAGAAACAUUGAAUGUAUGAUGUUUUGUUCUGGAGAAAUGUCAAGAGUACACAUUGUAUGCAUUCCUAGUUAAAGUCUUGUCACCUCUUGAAUGUGAGUUCAGAAAGAGCUGGGUAUCAAGAUAAUGUAGUUUAAUACACAUUCACAUAUCACUUCAAUGUGUUAGAUUUUACAUCAUCAGAUUCAAAGAAAUAUAAAUGUUCAACAGUGUAAUUUUUGGGAAAGUUAUAUAUGUGCAAUAUUUCUCAGAAUUUUCAUAUAUAUUAAUAUGGUUAUAUGUAUCUUGGUAUAUAUGUACAAUAGUGAUUCUGUGCCUGUCCCCUAAUGGAACACAUAAAUUCUUCUUUAGAAGUGUAUCAUAAUUUUUUUUCAGCCAAGGCUUUACUUUUUCAAAAUAAAAUGUAACCCACAGAAAAUCUACAUUUAGACAAACACAAUAUGUAUCCAAUGCAGAAAACAAUUUGAUGAGCAUCAGUUUAGAAAAUCACCUUGUUGUAUCAGUGUACUCCAUAGGCACAUAACAUGGACUGUCAGUGUUACUCAUGCUAAUGGUUCCACACAUCCUGUCUUUUCCACUUUUCUCUUACUGUAUGUACACUAUCUAGUCUGCAUUACAAGUAUGUAAACGUUUCCACUUUCUAAAUCAGUAGCAUUUAACUUCAGCCAAGGAUAGCAGUUUCUAGGCUCUUAACAUUCCAUAUUAACAUGUAGUGUGCAUGCCAUAAUUUGGGUCCAGAAAUUUUCAGGAAGGUAAAGUUUAUGAAAGUACUAUGACUAGAAUAUUUUAGCUUGAAAAAUCUCAUGUAUGCCUCUGAUGUUUUGCACAGUAUUAGGUUGUUACUAAUAAAUUUUCAAAUUAAAAAAAUCUUAAUUUGCUACUCAUGGAAACAGGAUUAUAACUAUUAACAACCCACUCUCCCAUAUGGUUUGGUGCAGUUUGGACCCAUUAAAUGGGAAGGUGUGGUAUACACAUUAUUGUACUUGUUAAAACAUAACACAUGUAAAGAAAGAGUUUUUAUACUUUUGAUAGUCUUUUUCAUGUGCCAUAUAUUACUAAAACAGAUUUUAAUUAUGAAUGUAAGACAACAUUUCCCUUGUGGAUGAUAUGCUUUGUGGCCACAAUGUUUGUUGCAGCCUUCUCAAUUGUGUCUUUUAUUGUUUUUCUUAUCACUGAAAUCCAACCCAUCUUAAUUGUAAUUAAUGUAUGGGUACGCGUUGUGUUUUCCAUGAAGAUAUGUUUUUUUAUAUUAUGGCUCAGCUAACCUUUCAAAAAUGCUUCCUUCUGCACUGCAUUAUUUCUUAAAAUUGUGGAGGUAUAUAAUUUAAUAUUGUAAAUGGGUCAAAUAUCAUUCACCAAUAAAUGACUUAUGUUCGUUUUAUAGUUUUAGGGAAUUAUUUACUGUAGAAAAGUUUAUGAAGUAAACACACUGAAGCUGACUUAUAAUCAGUAAUCAGUCAAUGGGGGAAUAUGCAUUCUCAUGUGAAUCAUUUACCCACAGCUCUGCUCAGAAUCUUAUGGGUGUUAGUUGUUGUAUAUAAGUACUGUACACAUUUUUACCAUUAAAAGUAUAUGAUUACACCUAUACUGACUUUUGCCACUUCUUCAUUGGCAUAUAUUUA
Long non-coding RNA from Eriocheir sinensis (Chinese mitten crab), 4160 nucleotides. RefSeq lists it as uncharacterized. The transcript is spliced from 2 exons. The record is from RefSeq and is a predicted model, not a curated record. Lineage: Eukaryota; Metazoa; Arthropoda; Malacostraca; Decapoda; Varunidae.